UACGUAGGGCGCAAGCGUUGUCCGGAAUUAUUGGGCGUAAAGAGCUCGUAGGCGGCUUGUCACGUCGGGUGUGAAAGCCCGGGGCUUAACCCCGGGUCUGCAUUCGAUACGGGCUAGCUAGAGUGUGGUAGGGGAGAACGGAAUUCCUGGUGUAGCGGUGAAAUGCGCAGAUAUCAGGAGGAACACCGGUGGCGAAGGCGGAUCUCUGGGCCAUUACUGACGCUGAGGAGCGAAAGCGUGGGGAGCGAACAGG
RNAcentral lists this ribosomal RNA (253 nucleotides) under uncultured bacterium. Its description in RNAcentral is "partial 16S ribosomal RNA". It matches the Rfam family "Bacterial small subunit ribosomal RNA", at positions 524 to 776 of the family's 1533-position model. The record is from RNAcentral.